Molecule: ribosomal RNA, 2020 nt
Filed under: Vampyroteuthis infernalis
Lineage: Eukaryota; Metazoa; Mollusca; Cephalopoda; Vampyromorpha; Vampyroteuthidae
Description: SSU rRNA
Rfam family: Eukaryotic small subunit ribosomal RNA
Source: RNAcentral
ACCUGGUUGAUCCUGCCAGUAGUCAUAUGCUUGUCUCAAAGAUUAAGCCAUGCAAGUGUAAGUUCACGCCACGCUUCUGUACGGGCGAAACCGCGAAUGGCUCAGGAACCGGACCUAAUCCUCGGGACCGUAUUCCUCCUCGGAGGGAAGUGGAUAACUGUGGUAAUUCUAGAGCUAAUACAUGUGACAUAAAGCCGCGAUCGGUAGGCGGUUCGUUUGCGCGGGCCGUCUGCCGUUCCGGGUCGCGGCACUACAUAUUAGACUGAGACCGAUGCGUUUUGCUGUCCGUGCCGGUUUGUUCUGCGCCGGGGUCGGCUUCGCGGUCGGCUUCGCGUGGGCGACGGUCGGGUGGCGCGCUCACUUUUGGUGACUCUGGAUAACUCACUGGUCGAUCGCACGGGUUUCAGCCCGGCGACGGGUCCCCCGAGGGUCCGCCCUAUCAACUGUCGACGGUCGGUUAAGUGCCUACCGUGGUUACUACGGGUAACGGGGAAUCGGGGUUCGAUUCCGGAGAGGGAGCAUGCGAAACGGCUACCACAUCCAAGGAAGGCAGCAGGCGCGCAAAUUACCCACUCCCGGCACGGGGAGGUAGUGACGAAAAAUAACGACGCGGGACUCUGUCGAGGCCCCGCGAUCGGAAUGAGUACACUUCAAAUCCGUUAACGAGGAUCAACCGGAGGGCAAGUCUGGUGCCAGCAGCCGCGGUAAUUCCAGCUCCGGUAGCGUAUAUUAAAGUUGUUGCGGUUAAAAAGCUCGUAGUCCGAAUUCGGGUGUCAAUCGUUCGGGGCGGCGGCGCCAUCGUCCACGACUGACUUUGGUCGUCCGUUCGCACUCCCGGCCCUAUCCGCCGGUGUCACGGGGGGCGGCGUGUUCACGCACAGCGUUCCCUCGUGUUCCUCCAAGGGUGCUCUUCACCGAGUGUCCGCGGCGGCCGGUACGUUCACUUUGAAAAAAUUAGAGUGCUCAGAGCGGGCUGUUUCAGCUUGCAUACGAUAAGCAUGGAAUGAUGGAAGAGGGCCUCGUCCACGUCUGUCGGUCUCCGUCUACGGCGAGGCAAUGAUCGAAGGGAGCGGUCGGGGCCACUCGUAUUGCGACGUUAGAGGUGAAAUUCUUGGAUCGUCGCAAGACGAACUGCAGCGAUGGCGUGUGGCAAGCACGUUUUCCUCGAUCAAGAGCGAAAGUCGGAGGUUCGAAGACGAUCAGAUACCGUCGUAGUUCCGACCGUAAACGAUGCCGACCGGCGAUCCGCCGGCGUUCGCUUCCAUGACCCGGCGGGUAGCCUGCGGGAAACCAGAGUUCGGUUCCGGGGGGAGUAUGGUUGCAAAGCUGAAACUUAAAGGAAUUGACGGAAGGGCACCACCAGGAGUGGAGCCUGCGGCUUAAUUUGACUCAACACGGGAAAACUCACCCGGUCCGGACACCGGUAGGAUUGACAGAUCGAUAGCUCUUUCUCGAUUCGGUGGGUGGUGGUGCAUGGCCGUUCUUAGUUGGUGGAGCGAUCCGUCUGGUUGAUUCCGAUAACGAACGAGACUCCGGCCUGCUAACUAGUGCGCCGAUUACACUAAUUGCGAGUCGGUCUCCCGCACUUCUUAGAGGGACGGGUGGCAGAAAGCCACACGAGGCGGAGCGAUAACAGGUCUGUGAUGCCCUUAGAUGUCCGGGGCCGCACGCGCGCUACACUGGAGGUAUCAGCGGGGACUUCGCCCCGACCCGAGAGGGUCGGGAAACCUCUCAACCACCUCCCGUGAUAGGGAUCGGGGCCUGUAACCAACCCCGUGAACGAGGAAUUCCCGGUAGGCGCGGGUCAACAGCCCGCGUCGAUCACGUCCCUGCCCUUUGUACACACCGCCCGUCGCUACUACCGAUCGAACGGUCCGGUGAGGUCCUCGGAUCUGGCCGACGACGCCGGCGCCUCGCGUGUCGGCGUUCGAUGCCUGGAGAAGACGACCGAACCCGAUCGUUUAGAGGAAGUAAAAGUCGUAACAAGGUUUCCGUAGGUGAACCUGCGGAAGGAUCAUUA